Long non-coding RNA from Amphiprion ocellaris (clown anemonefish), 1781 nucleotides. RefSeq lists it as uncharacterized. The record is from RefSeq and is a predicted model, not a curated record. The transcript is spliced from 7 exons. NCBI's taxonomy places the organism in Eukaryota, Metazoa, Chordata, Actinopteri, Pomacentridae.
GCGGGACCAGCUGAUGCAGUGGCCAUAUGGUGGCCAUCUCAACUUCAGGCUCUCUGGUGAAGCUACCGUUGCCAAAUCUCGCGAUAGCCGCCUCCCUGAUCACUACGUAAUGUGCCGUGCUGCUUCUAGCGGCGCUGGUGACAGUGCUGAAAGCUGUUGGGUAUGAAGUGAAACAGAACAGAAUUUUUGUACCAUCCGCAACUGCUUCAAGUUCAGAUCACAACAAAGAAACUGAAGAUAAACCUCCCAAAACAAAGUUGCAACACUGAAGACACGUGGCGAAAAAAGGAUCACUUCAAGGAUUUAAAACACAAGAAGGAACCAAAUCCUGAAACGACCAAAGAAUACGCACAUCAGCCCUACAGAAACAUAGAAAAGAAGCAAUCCUAUGCCCAAGUAUAUUCUAAAAAAAUACAAUAACUGAUCUGAAACCAGAAGUUUGUGCCUACUCAACAGCUUUGACAAAGCACACGUCCCAACGCUGCUCCUUGCCCUCCUCAUCCUCACUACACCGCCGACUCACCACCGGGGUGUGGAGUGGGCUGCUAUCUGCUAGUUUUUUCCCCCAUAGUUCCCCCAUUUUCCCCCCCUCUUCUCUUCCCUCUGUUUUCAUUGUAUUUUUUUCUGAGCAGUGUUAUUGCACCUGCGUUUGCCUUUUUUGCGCUCGAUUUCUCCCCCUUUUUUACUUUAUACAAACAUCUAGAACUUGUGCCAGAAACCUGUAACAAGUGUGUGUGUUCAACUGUGUGCGUGAAGAGGUCUGCAACAAUUGCAAAGCCAUCGAGAUCCUGAGAAUUACAAGAUACAAGACGACAAAUAAAGACAUCCAGCGGUGUAUCAUUGGGUGGUUAUAUAAGAAUAGUACUUAACAGUCAAGCAAAAACAUUCAGACAAGUAAUCAAGUUCAGCAAGUGCUCAAGCAAGUUUGGUCCGAGUUUAUGGGAAAAUAUGGGCAGCCCCUGGAAAGGCUUUGUUGAAUUUACCUUGCCUGCGUCGCCACCCACCGCGUUUGUUAGCGCUGACCUGAGCAGCACCUCCCCUGUCGGACUCAGCCUGUCGCCAUAUGGCCGAUCCCACAUCCAAGUCUUAUCCCCAGUGUCAGAAAUGGAAAGAGGCUCCUCUGAACCUCCAGCGGCUCGCAACACUGACCCUGCCGCUUCUACCUCCACUGGUCCCAUGCAUAUCCCUCGUUCCUGCUCUGUCUCUUGCCAUCCCCACCCAGGAAAUAAAAAACACAAGCGGACUCCCUUGUAUCAGAGAUCAAUGAGUUUUGACCCAGGAAUGCUCCAUAACAAUGGGCACACUGCGUACGCCAACGGCACAGGGCCUGGCAUUAGAGAGACUGGUUUGUGGAGAAGCUCUUGACUUCCUAUGGGUUCAUCCAGUGCUCCGAACGUCAGGCUCGCCUCUUCUUCCACUGCUCCCAGUACAAUGGCAACUUGCAGGAGCUUAAAAUAGGAGAUGAUGUAGAGUUUGAGGUAUCCUCUGACAGGCGCACUGGCAAGCCCAUAGCAGUGAAGCUGCUAAAGAUAAAGCCAGAGGUGCUGCCAGAGGAACGGAUCUCGGGCCAGGUGGGGCCAGACCUGCACGCCUAUCCCUUUACUGUGCUGCAUGGUUAUAUUCAUCCAGUUGUCUCAUCUAUCCCAUUGCAUUUGGAUGGAAAGUCUGCACCUGGUCAGGUUCCCACUGGCAGUGUUUGUUAUGAGAGAAAUGGGGUAAGAGAAGUGGAAUGGAUUGCAUCAUGCUUGGUCAACAAAAUGCAGAAUGUUAAUGUAAUUAGA